UACGGGGGGGGCAAGCGUUGUUCGGAAUUACUGGGCGUAAAGGGCUCGUAGGCGGCCAACUAAGUCAGACGUGAAAUCCCUCGGCUUAACCGGGGAACUGCAUCUGAUACUGGAUGGCUUGAGUUCGGGAGAGGGAUGUGGAAUUCCAGGUGUAGCGGUGAAAUGCGUAGAUAUCUGGAGGAACACCGGUGGCGAAAGCGGCGGACUGGAUCUUUUCUGACGCUGAGGCGCGAAAGCUAGGGGAGCAAACGGG
This 253-nucleotide ribosomal RNA is filed under the name uncultured bacterium. RNAcentral describes it as "partial 16S ribosomal RNA". It matches the Rfam family "Bacterial small subunit ribosomal RNA", at positions 524 to 776 of the family's 1533-position model. The record is from RNAcentral.